Cavia porcellus (domestic guinea pig) is the source of this 1292-nucleotide long non-coding RNA. RefSeq lists it as uncharacterized. Lineage: Eukaryota; Metazoa; Chordata; Mammalia; Rodentia; Caviidae. The transcript is spliced from 5 exons. The record is from RefSeq and is a predicted model, not a curated record.
CCAGGUAAGCUAAGGGACUGAUGAAGCCAAUUCCCAUGGCUACUAGGAGAAUGUCUUUACAUCAUGCUUGUGGUAGCGUGGGAGAGGCAUUUAGGUGAAGAAUUCUCCGUAUCUCUCAGAGUGCAGGCUGGCCUGAACCUUGUGAUCCACCGACCUCAGCAUCCCAAGUGCUAGGAUCGAGGUACGUGCUGUCUCCUUCACAUCCUGCAGAUAACCAGGUGCUUGGGCUAUAUGUGAUUUGAGUCAAAUGCAGACACCACAUUCAUCAGGAAUCAAGGGAUCUUCAAGGAAAUAUUGAAGAGCUUGGUCGCACCAAGGACACCAGGACAGGUGCCAAACGCUGGAUGCCAGCCCUGAUAGAACUACCUCAUGGACUAAACAAGUAAUAUAACUAUAAGGGGCAGUCACAUCCAGAAGUGUCCUCUUAGCCCUGGGGGAUACAUUCCAAGACCCCCAACAGAUGCCUGACAGCAGAGAGUUGCGCUCAAUAUUGUGGUAACUGAAGUCACAGAAAACGAAACCGUGAGUCAGAGGAGACCACUGGAUCAGACCACAGAGGCAGGAGGAUUAAAUGGGAAGUACACACACAGAUUCCCAAAUUCAGCGAGAACAUCACAACACUGAUAAACAAAACAGACAAAUCCAAACAGUUUUCAGCCUCCGGAACAGAUCAUCCACAGAAACCUUUUGAGCUCUAAUGUUUUUGUGCUUCAUCCAAAUGAGCCACCAUUUCUUCAGGUUCUGCUUUUGGUUGGUAAGGGUGGGUGGUAAGGAUGAGCUAGUUAGACAAGCUGACUUCUACUAAUGGGUAAGUUAGCUAACAAGCAACCCCUCCUUGACUUACUGCCAUUACUGGAUUAGAGUUCAUCCCUUCUGAUGCUGGACCUCGGAGAUUGGCAAAUGACGGGAAUUCACACUGUGCUCAGCAUUCCUGAAACCACAUCCUAGCAAUAGUUUCCAGGUCUCCUCAGUGCCUGGGGACAGGGCUGGACAGAAGCUGGUAAGUCACUGAGCCUGUUUUCUUCUAACAGUGGCAUCAAUAAUAUGGCUAGAGCCUACUAACUGAAGUAAAGCCCUGGGUUUCUGAAUUGUGUGUCAGUCUCAAGAGGGCCAUAGUGGCUGCUAUGAUUUGGAUAUGGUUUCACUGUUGUCCCUCAGAAUGCACAGCGGGAGCCGGGUUCCCCCUGUGGUGAUAUGGGAGGUAAUGGAAACUUUCAGAGACAAGGCUGUUGAUGGGUGGUUAGGUCACUGGAUUCCUGCCAGAGUGUGAUAUUAAAAGCAGGAAGACUGAC